UGUCAAAAUUUUCAUCAUACAUAAGCAAAAUAUUUUUAAUAAAACAAAAUUACGUAUUUUGUUUAUAACUUCCAAUUAAGAGUUUAUAUUUCGUAUUUACCCGACAACUGACCAGCCGUGGUGUAUAUGAGCGACAGAAACUUAAAAAUAUUAAUUAUGUUUCAGCACGAAACAAGGGAUACCUAACAUCUGGAUAUAUUGUAAAACAUUUAAGAAUAUUAUCUUAACAAAAAGAUAAAAGAUGAUGUCACGCUAAAAGUGAUUCUCUCAGCAAAUGGGCUACGGAUUCAAAGUAAACAGGAUGGAUAGGUGUUUUAAAUUUUCAAAAUGUUACUAAAGGUAACCAAGCCAUCAGUGGUAGUUGUCAAGAAUGAGGAA
This is a long non-coding RNA of Pieris napi, 378 nucleotides long. RefSeq lists it as uncharacterized. The record is from RefSeq and is a predicted model, not a curated record. NCBI's taxonomy places the organism in Eukaryota, Metazoa, Arthropoda, Insecta, Lepidoptera, Pieridae. The transcript has 2 exons.